GAUGAACGCUGGCGGCGUGCCUAAUACAUGCAAGUCGAGCGAACAGACGAGGAGCUUGCUCCUCUGACGUUAGCGGCGGACGGGUGAGUAACACGUGGAUAACCUACCUGUAAGACUGGGAUAACUUCGGGAAACCGGAGCUAAUACCGGAGAAUAUAUUGAACCGCAUGGUUCAAUAGUGAAAGGCGGUUUUGCUGUCACUUAUAGCUGGAUCCGCGCCGCAUUAGCUAGUUGGUAAGGUAACGGCUUACCACGGCGCCGAUUCGUACCCGACCCGGGAGCGUGAUCGGUCACACUGGAACUCAGACACGUUCCCCACUCCUACGGGAGGCCGCAGCAGGGAAUCUUCCGCCAUGCGCGAAAGCUUGACCGAGCACCGCCGCGUGAGUGAUGAAGGUCCUCGGAUCGUAAAACUCUGUUCUGCGCGAAGAACAAAUGUGUAAGUCACUAUGCACCUCUUGCCGGUACCUAAUCAGAACGCCACGCCUACCUACGUG
This 497-nucleotide ribosomal RNA is filed under the name uncultured bacterium. RNAcentral describes it as "partial 16S ribosomal RNA". It matches the Rfam family "Bacterial small subunit ribosomal RNA", at positions 28 to 507 of the family's 1533-position model. The record is from RNAcentral.